Molecule: ribosomal RNA, 207 nt
Filed under: uncultured bacterium
Lineage: Bacteria
Description: partial 16S ribosomal RNA
Rfam family: Bacterial small subunit ribosomal RNA
Source: RNAcentral
UGCGCAGGCGGCUCCGCAUGUCAGAUGUGAAAUCCCCGAGCUUAACUUGGGAAUUGCAUUUGAAACUACGGGGCUGGAGUGCGGCAGAGGGAGGUGGAAUUCCACGCGUAGCGGUGAAAUGCGUAGAGAUGUGGAGGAACACCGAUGGCGAAGGCAGCCUCCUGGGCCGACACUGACGCUCAUGCACGAAAGCGUGGGGAGCAAACA